GCCUCGGUAGCUCAGUCGGUAGAGCAGAGGACUGAAAAUCCUCGUGUCGGCGGUUCGAUUCCGCCCUGAGGCA
Molecule: transfer RNA, 73 nt
Organism: Desulfitobacterium hafniense Y51
Lineage: Bacteria; Bacillati; Bacillota; Clostridia; Eubacteriales; Desulfitobacteriaceae
Rfam family: tRNA
About the family: Transfer RNA (tRNA) molecules are approximately 80 nucleotides in length. Their secondary structure includes four short double-helical elements and three loops (D, anti-codon, and T loops). Further hydrogen bonds mediate the characteristic L-shaped molecular structure. tRNAs have two regions of fundamental functional importance: the anti-codon, which is responsible for specific mRNA codon recognition, and the 3' end, to which the tRNAs corresponding amino acid is attached (by aminoacyl-tRNA synthetases). tRNAs cope with the degeneracy of the genetic code in two manners: having more than one tRNA (with a specific anti-codon) for a particular amino acid; and 'wobble' base-pairing, i.e. permitting non-standard base-pairing at the 3rd anti-codon position.
Source: Rfam